This 203-nucleotide ribosomal RNA is filed under the name uncultured bacterium. Its description in RNAcentral is "partial 16S ribosomal RNA". The record is from RNAcentral.
UACAGAGGGUGCAAGCGGGUUUGUUUCGGAAAAUUUAUUUUGGGGGCCGGUAAAAAGAAGCUCGGUUAAAGGGGGCGGGGGUUUUGUUUCAACCGGGUUUCCGGGGACCUUUGUUUUGGGGAAAACCCCUGGGGAAAACGGGGCCCCGGUUUUACCCCGAAAACCCCUUUUCGGGGCCCUUUGGGUCCGAAAAGUUCCCCGGG